RNAcentral lists this small RNA (579 nucleotides) under Histoplasma ohiense. Its description in RNAcentral is "hypothetical lncRNA". Lineage: Eukaryota; Fungi; Ascomycota; Eurotiomycetes; Onygenales; Ajellomycetaceae. The record is from RNAcentral.
UCUCUCUCUCGUUUAUCAUGCUUGUUAUUAUUCCCCUUUCGUGCACUGGAAAAUAUUGGAUUUGCAUGGGUAACAGGUACAUGGAGUCAUCAAAGAACGAUUAUGAAAGUGCCGCAUACACACCAACCACUUGGGUCUUGAUUGCUUCCAAAGGAACACACUAAAACGUCUGCUGAGUUGGCGCAGACGCUAUAUAAAGGCCUAAUCCGUGCGCCAGAGCGUUAGUCGGCCAGGACGGGAUUGGGUCCAAAACCCGCCGCCGAAGCUAAAUCUUCCAUACGCAGGGACUUGGUCAUCUUCGGGGGAUGAUUCUUGGGAAUAGUUCCCGCCAUCUUUGUGUGUUUGCAUUUUACAUGCCUCUUGACGGGUGGUGGAGGUGGUGGAGUUCAUCCCUGCCCAUUUCCCUUCCCUGUCUCAACCCGCUGGGCCGUCCGCACGCGGGACAAACGAACACAGGGGUCUUGCUCCAGCAUCGCAGGCGACAGGAAGAGGAACAGCACACAGUGACACCUCUCGAUAUCCCUUCGUAUGUCUACGCAGUUGCAGAUGCUUCUUUACUGGAUAAAAUUUCAUGCACAC